RNAcentral lists this long non-coding RNA (1197 nucleotides) under Fragaria vesca (wild strawberry). Its description in RNAcentral is "long non-coding RNA (FVES_LNC003529)". The record is from RNAcentral. Lineage: Eukaryota; Viridiplantae; Streptophyta; Magnoliopsida; Rosales; Rosaceae.
UCAUUCAAUCGUUGAGAGUCAAAUGUGAACAAACAAGUAUUUCUUUACAAUGCUUCAAGUGCUUUCAACUUAAAAAAGAUCUAAGACAUAUUAGUGAUUGUACGUUUUUUGGAAACCCAUAAGUGUUUUUAGAUUAAUAGAAGAAUUUAGUUACAAUGAACAAAAUUUAUUGUGUUGGGAACAUGUUAGAACACUUUAUCUCCUUAAAGCAACUUUUGCAGACUCUCUAUUUUAACUUUUAUCUAUUCCAAAAAGUGUGUUUUUAUCUAUUUCAGAGAGUGUGUUUAGUUUUUUUUUUAUAUUUUCGGAGCUCUAAGAGCAUCUUUAACAGACUCUCUACUUUGACUCCUUAGCUAUUUUAAAGAGCGUGUUUAGCUUUUUUAGAUGUUUUAGGAGCUCUAGCAGACUAGUCAAACUUGAGCUAUUAUAACUUUUAGCUAUCUCACUAGCUAUAUUUGGUUAGCGAGAUAACUCAAAUGAGGCUAGCUAUAAUUUAUUACAUUUCUUUUAAGAUAUUUUAGGUGAUAUAUAAAUACAUUUAAACUAUUUAAUCUUUAUUUGAACAAUAAUAUUAAUGUGAUGCUAGCUAAAAUAGAGAGCAUUGAUGUAUACACAUUUCUAAAGUGGUUAGCCAAAAUAACAUUUUAGCUAAUUUGAUGAAAAUUUAACUCAAAUAUAGCUAGCAUUGCUAAAAAUGCUCUAACAAACUAACUCAAAUAUAGCUAGCAUUGCUAAAGAUGCUCUAACAGACUAGCCAAAGCUUAGCUAUUAUGACUUUUAGCUAGCUAUCUCGUUAGCUAAGUAUAGAGAGCGAGAUGACUCAGAUGAGGCAAAUUAUAAUUUAAUACAUUCAUUGUAAGAUAUUUUACUCGGUAUAUAAAUAUAUUUAAACUAUUUAAUCUUUAUUUGAAGAAUAAUAUUGAUGUAAUGCUAGCUAAAAUAGAGAGCAUUGAUGCAGCCACAUUUCUACAGUGGCUAGCUAAAAUGACAUUUUAGCUAAUUUGACUACAAUUUAACUCAAAAAUGGCUAGCAUUGCUAAAGAUGUUCUUACUCAUGGAGAACAUGCAUAGUGAGAUUUAACUCUAAUCAGAGUCUGUGGGGAUUUAAACCUAGACAAUUAAGUGGAUUCAGAAUUCUAAACAAUUAAUAUUACACUUAAUUGGCUUAUAUAUAUUUUUUCAACCUUAAUGAAAAAC